GAUGAACGCUGGCGGCGUGCCUAAUACAUGCAAGUCGAGCGAACAGACGAGGAGCUUGCUCCUCUGACGUUAGCGGCGGACGGGUGAGUAACACGUGGAUAACCUACCUAUAAGACUGGGAUAACUUCGGGAAACCGGAGCUAAUACCGGAUAAUAUAUUGAACCGCAUGGUUCAAUAGUGAAAGACGGUUUUGCUGUCACUUAUAGAUGGAUCCGCGCCGCAUGAGCUAGUUGGUAAGGUAACGGCUUACCAAGGCAACGAUGCGUAGCCGACCUGAGAGGGUGAUCGGCCACACUGGAACUGAGACACGGUCCAGACUCCUACGGGAGGCAGCAGUAGGGAAUCUUCCGCAAUGGGCGAAAGCCUGACGGAGCAACGCCGCGUGAGUGAUGGAGGUCUUCGGAUCGUAAAACUCUGUUAUUAGGGAAGAACAAAUGUGUAAGUAACUAUGCACGUCUUGACGGUACCUAGUCAGAAAGCCACGGCUAACUACGUG
RNAcentral lists this ribosomal RNA (497 nucleotides) under uncultured bacterium. RNAcentral's name for it is "partial 16S ribosomal RNA". It matches the Rfam family "Bacterial small subunit ribosomal RNA", at positions 28 to 507 of the family's 1533-position model. The record is from RNAcentral.